AAAGAUAAAAUGAGCUUUAAGUAAACACCAACUAAAAACUGUGAACUUUAUAUUAUAAAAAAGUGAUUUGGAAGAAACUCUUUUCUUUAUAAACUACUGGUGAAUGACCACUCGACUAUAUCUAAUAAUUGUUCUCAAUAGUUGUGGAGCAUACAAUAAAAUUGGGAUAGUUUUUUCGCCAAUAUAAUUUAAUUACAUUGAUAUUUUGUCCCAGCAGUUAUUUUAUAAUACAAUUGUAAGAAGUGCUUUCUUCAGAAUUCAAAUUAUUCCUUUUUUCAUCAGUUAAGCUACUAUCAAAAAUAUGGUUGGACAUUUUUAUAGCCUUCUAUAUGGUAUGUGAUAUGCUCAUUGUUAAAGGCAAUAUCUUAACCUAUUGUGGAAUACAUUCACUUCAUUUAAUCUCUGUCUCUCCUCUAAAGUUUACUAAUCGCCAAAACUGCACUUCUUUCCUUUCAGACUUUAUCAAAUGCAGCUGGAAUUUUCUUAAAAUCCAUAUUUAAGGUAGAUAGGGUGUCUUCCUCCAUUUUGGAUUUUGAAAUACUAGAAAACAAGGUCUAGAUCUUUGAUGAAAUGUGCAAAUUUUUAUAGCAGUAGGUAAUUCAUGUGUAAGAAUUUUCAUUAUAAUAUAGAAAAUGCCAUGUUUGAUCAUAUUUAUAAUUGUAUUUUACAAAAAAAAGAAUUCUUUUGUUUGAUUCAUAUUUUUCCAACUUUGUCAAAUAAGGGGAGGCAACUCAAAUGCAAGGGCAGAUAAUUCAGAUAGUGUUAAUUUUACAAUAGAAUGUGUUAGGAAUUUACCCAUUUUUACAUGCAGCAAGAAAACAAGUCCGGUGACCCCAUUUUUUCUUUUUCUUACCUGAAAGCAUAAUAUUGGAGCUAUGAUCGUCUCAUAUUUUAUCUCAAAAUUCUAUGGUGUGGUUUGCGUUUUAUGGCGGAAAAAUGGGUUUUCCAUGCAUAAUCUAUACAAAAUCUUGACAAUUUUGCACAACCUGUAGUGUGAAAAUAAGUCCGGUGACCCAUUCUUUUUAUUAAUGUUUUUUACAAGCAGGAUAUGAACUACAUUUUGGCAAAUUAUUAAAAGAUUCUAUGGAUUAUAAUUUAGACACCCCAUCUACCUUAAGUUAGAAAAACC
Molecule: long non-coding RNA, 1129 nt
Filed under: Mytilus galloprovincialis (Mediterranean mussel)
Lineage: Eukaryota; Metazoa; Mollusca; Bivalvia; Mytilida; Mytilidae
Source: RNAcentral